CAGCAGCCGCGGGAAAACAGAGGGUGCGAGCGUUAAUCGGAUUUACUGGGCGUAAAGCGUGCGUAGGCGGCUAAUUGAGUCGGAUGUGAAAUCCCCGAGCUUAACUUGGGAAUUGCAUUCGAUACUGGUUAGCUAGAGUGUGGGAGAGGAUGGUAGAAUUCCAGGUGUAGCGGUGAAAUGCGUAGAGAUCUGGAGGAAUACCGAUGGCGAAGGCAGCCAUCUGGCCUAACACUGACGCUGAGGUACGAAAGCAUGGGGAGCAAACAGGAUUAGAUACCCCAGUAGUCCCUGUCUCUUAUAA
This 301-nucleotide ribosomal RNA is filed under the name uncultured bacterium. Its description in RNAcentral is "partial 16S ribosomal RNA". It matches the Rfam family "Bacterial small subunit ribosomal RNA", at positions 509 to 809 of the family's 1533-position model. The record is from RNAcentral.